Molecule: long non-coding RNA, 1302 nt
Filed under: Monodelphis domestica (gray short-tailed opossum)
Lineage: Eukaryota; Metazoa; Chordata; Mammalia; Didelphimorphia; Didelphidae
Description: lncRNA (ENSMODG00000041677.1)
Source: RNAcentral
AUAUAAUGAUUUUAGGGAAAAAAUUCAUAGACCUCAGCUUGAAAGACUUGAAAACUCCUGCAAAAUUUAGGUUUUCAUGUACCUCCUUUUAAAAGAUAUUCUGUAAAUGUCCCAAUACAUCCGUUGGUUCCCCAGAAAUACCUUCUUCUAUUUCACUAAUUAAAUCAUCUGUGUGUGGGUCCUCCUCAAUGGGACAAGAAAAGCAUUUAUUAGGUGUUUAAUAUGUGCCAGGCACUAUGGGUUUUCCAAAGAUUAUCUUACUUGAACCAAGAAAAUUCAGAACUCCAGAAUUUCCUCAAACAGUAGAAUAAAUUUACCAAGGGGGAACAUGGGGCAAUAUUUCAUCCUCUUAAUCUUACAGUUAUCUACAAGGAAGGAUAAGGGCCCUUGAUGGAGCAUUCCCAAGGUUUGCCUAAAUUUCAGCUGUCUUCUAUUUCCUGUUUCUUCACAGAAGGCUUGUCUAAUAACUGAUAAUAAAAAUAAAUAAUAAUAAUGAACUAAAAAUAAAUAAUGAAGAUAAAAAUAGUCUUAUUUGUUUACUUUCUCUUGCUUUUUUCUUUUCUUUUUUCUUUAUCUCUUUCUUUUUAUUUUUCUUUAACUUUUUUAUAUCCUCUUUCUCUGCUUCUUCUAUCUCUCUUCAUCUUUUUAUUUUCUUUCUCUGCUUCUUCAAUUUCUCUAUUUCUUUCUCUUUUUCUUUUCUUAUCUCUUUUUCAUUCUUCUUUAUCUUUUUCUAUCUUCUUUCUCUUUCUCUGCUUCUUCUCUCCCUCUAUUUCUUUCUCUCUUUCUUUUUCAUUUUUCUUUCUUUUUUCUAUCUUCUUUCUCUGCUUCUUCUAUCUCUCUAUCUCUCUCUUUUUCUUUAUCUUUCUUUUUCAUUUUUCAUUUUUCUUUCUUCUUUCUCUGCUUCUUCUCUCUCCCUCUAUUUCUUUCUCUCUUUCUUUUUCAUUUUUCUUUCAUUUUUCUAUCUUCUUUCUCUGCUUCUUCUCUCUCUUUUUCUUUAUCUUUCUUUUUCAUUUUUCAUUUUUCUUUCUUCUUUCUCUGCUUCUUCUAUCUCCUUCCAUUUCUUUCUCAUCUUUCUUUAACUUUUUUCCUAUCUUCUUUUUCUUUAUCUGCUUCUUCUAUCUUUCUAUUUCUUCCUCCAUCUCUCUUUGCUUUUUUCUCUUUUCCAGUUUAAAGAUUAGAUAUUUCUUUCUCUUUUUUUUUGUGGAGCAGGGUAUACCAACUGGCAUGGGCUGUAUUAAAAUCAGGAGAAAGCCCAAUCCCAAGGCCUCUCGGAAGGCAGGCUUUCUUGUUAAUAUGCACUAA